UAAAAUUCAGUGAAGAAGAGAGUAGUUUAAAUGUAUUUUAUAGAGAGCUAAGGACGGUGGAAGCUUAGCAAAGAAGUUUAAAUGAAGAGAGCUUUGGAGAAAACUAUUUGAACAUUUUAUUUAUAGUAGAAUAGUUGGUUUAAUCUGCCUUAAAGAUAUGAGAUAAUAAGUUUACUUAUUAAUUAGAGUGGUAUCGCGAUAAAUUCGCCUCUUAG
This 215-nucleotide non-coding RNA is filed under the name Clostridium collagenovorans. Its description in RNAcentral is "T-box sequence". It matches the Rfam family "T-box leader". From Rfam's summary of the family: Uncharged tRNA acts as the effector for transcription antitermination of genes in the T-box leader family. T-boxes are found upstream of many aminoacyl-tRNA synthetase genes and some amino acid biosynthetic genes usually in Gram-positive bacteria. Lineage: Bacteria; Bacillati; Bacillota; Clostridia; Eubacteriales; Clostridiaceae. The record is from RNAcentral.